AUAUGUGACGAUUAUGACGGUAGCAUAUGAAUAAGGAUCGGCUAAUUCCGUGCCAGCAGCCGCGGUCAUACGGAAGAUCCAAGCGUUAUCCGGAAUUACUGGGCGUAAAGAGUUGCGUAGGUGGCAUAGUAAGCAGAUAGUGAAAUGACGCGGCUCAACCGUGUGUCCAUUAUCUGAACUGCUAAGCUAGAGGGCGAGAGAGGUAGCUGGAAUUCCUAGUGUAGGAGUGAAAUCCGUAGAUAUUAGGAGGAACACCGAUGGCGUAGGCAGGCUACUGGCUCGUCCCUGACACUAAGGCACGAAAGCGUGGGGAGCGACCGGGAUUAGAUACCCCGUUAGUCCACGCCGUAAACGAUGGAUGCUAGCUGUUAUGCGUAUCGACCCGCGUAGUAGCGAAGCUAACGCGUUAAGCAUCCCGCCUGUGGAGUACGAGCGCAAGCUUAAAACAUAAAGGAAUUGACGGGGACCCGCACAAGCGGUGGAGCGUGUUCUUUAAUUCGAUGGUAAGCGAAGAACCUUACCAAGGUUUGACAUCCUGCGAAGGUCUCCGAAAGGAGACUGUGCCUUGUGAGCGCAGUGACAGGUGUUGCAUGGCCGUCGUCAGCUCGUGUCGUGAGAUGUUUGGUUAAGUCCAUCAACGAGCGCAACCCUUAUAGUUAGUUGAAUUUCUCUAGCUAGACUGCCCCGGCAACGGGGAGGAAGGAGGGGAUGAUGUCAGGUCAGUAUUACCCUUACACCUUGGGCUAGAAACACGCUACAAUGGCCAGUACAAAGGGCAGCCAAGUCGCGAGACGGAGCAAAUCCCAUCAAAGCUGGUCUCAGUUCGGAUAGCAGGCUGAAACUCGCCUGC
RNAcentral lists this ribosomal RNA (850 nucleotides) under uncultured bacterium. RNAcentral describes it as "bacterial SSU rRNA". It matches the Rfam family "Bacterial small subunit ribosomal RNA", at positions 456 to 1319 of the family's 1533-position model. The record is from RNAcentral.